This 460-nucleotide ribosomal RNA is filed under the name uncultured bacterium. RNAcentral describes it as "partial 16S ribosomal RNA". It matches the Rfam family "Bacterial small subunit ribosomal RNA", at positions 28 to 507 of the family's 1533-position model. The record is from RNAcentral.
GACGAACGCUGGCGGCGUGCUUAACACAUGCAAGUCGAGCGGUAAGGCCUCUUCGGGGGUACCCGAGCGGCGAACGGGUGCGUAACACGUGGGUGACCUGCCCUCAGCUCUGGGAUAAGCCUGGGAAACUGGGUCUAAUACCGGUUAUGACCUUUCCUCCCUUGGGGUUUGGGGGAAGGUUUUUUCGGCUGGGGAUGGGCCCGCGGCCUAUCAGCUGGUUGGUGGGGUGAUGGCCUACCAAGGCGACGACGGGUAGCCGGCGUGAGAGGGCGACCGGCCACACUGGGACUGAGACACGGCCCAGACUCCUACGGGAGACAGCAGUGGGGAAUAUUGCGCAAUGGGCGGAAGCCUGACGCAGCGACGCCGCGUGGGGGAUGACGGCCUUCGGGUUGUAAACCUCUUUCGACCCCGACGAAUUUGGACGGUAGGGGUAGAAGAAGCACCGGCCAACUACGUG